RNAcentral lists this ribosomal RNA (552 nucleotides) under Rhodotorula taiwanensis. RNAcentral's name for it is "LSU rRNA". It matches the Rfam family "Eukaryotic large subunit ribosomal RNA", at positions 96 to 663 of the family's 3401-position model. The record is from RNAcentral. Lineage: Eukaryota; Fungi; Basidiomycota; Microbotryomycetes; Sporidiobolales; Sporidiobolaceae.
AAGCGGGAAGAGCUCAAAUUUAUAAUCUGGCACCUUCGGUGUCCGAGUUGUAAUCUCUAGAAGUGUUUUCCGCGUUGGACCGCACACAAGUCUGUUGGAAUACAGCGGCAUAGUGGUGAGACCCCCGUAUAUGGUGCGGACGCCCAACGCUUUGUGAUACACUUUCGAAGAGUCGAGUUGUUUGGGAAUGCAGCUCAAAUUGGGUGGUAAAUUCCAUCUAAAGCUAAAUAUUGGCGAGAGACCGAUAGCGAACAAGUACCGUGAGGGAAAGAUGAAAAGCACUUUGGAAAGAGAGUUAACAGUACGUGAAAUUGUUGGAAGGGAAACGCUUGAAGUCAGACUUGCUUGCCGAGCAAUCGGUUUGCAGGCCAGCAUCAGUUUUCCGGGGUGGAUAAUGGUAGAGAGAAGGUAGCAGUUUCGGCUGUGUUAUAGCUCUCUGCUGGAUACACCUUGGGGGACUGAGGAACGCAGUGUGCCUUACGGCGGAUUUCUCGAGAUCUUCACACUUAGGAUGCUGGUGGAAUGGCUUUAAACGACCCGUCUUGAACCACG